Xenia sp. Carnegie-2017 is the source of this 500-nucleotide long non-coding RNA. RefSeq lists it as uncharacterized. The transcript has 2 exons. Lineage: Eukaryota; Metazoa; Cnidaria; Anthozoa; Malacalcyonacea; Xeniidae. The record is from RefSeq and is a predicted model, not a curated record.
UUAAUUUCAUAAAGUUCAUCAGCUCAAGUUGCCACUAGUUUUAGAGAAAAUACUAGAAAAAGGGAGAGCCAUCUACUAGCUUAUUGGAAGGAACAUGUCCUCUUUACCCUGCUGUUCUUUCCCUGCUAAAGAAUCUUGUUGUGCCUGAAUAGACACUCAAGAAAAUAAUAACUUUAAAUAUCAUUUCUAACGCCGUCUCGAAACAAUCAAAGAUCAACAGAAAACAUCCAUGGUUUCUCUAGUUUUGUCUUGUCGGUUGUCAAGAUAAGUUUCACAUGUUGGUUGCAUAUAAUAGGAUAUUGGAGAAUUAAAAGUAUUUUAGUUCGACUACAGGAGUAUUUUUACUCUCUCAGGGAAAGUACGAAAUUGCUUGGAAGUAUGAAAUAGUCGAGUAAGAAAUAUCUAAUUUUAAAUUAGUCAAAAAACAUUAAGGAGGCGUCUAAUUUAUUCAACGAUUCCCUGAAAUUCUACGCGUAUAGGUAAUAAACAGUGGCACUUAA